Molecule: ribosomal RNA, 421 nt
Filed under: Fusobacteriota bacterium
Lineage: Bacteria; Fusobacteriati; Fusobacteriota
Description: Fusobacteria bacterium partial 16S ribosomal RNA
Rfam family: Bacterial small subunit ribosomal RNA
Source: RNAcentral
UGGGGAAUAUUGCACAAUGGACGGAAGUUUGAUGCAGCGACGCCGCGUGGAGGGUGUAGGCCUUCGGGUUGUGAACUCCUUUUUCUCGCGAAAAAGGCACAGUUUUGGCUGUGUUGAUGGUAGUGGGGGAAGAAGCGCCGGCUAACUACGUGCCAGCAGCCGCGGUAAUACGUAGGGCGCGAGCGUUGUCCGGAAUUAUUGGGCGUAAAGGGCUUGUAGGCGGCUUGUUGCGCCUGCUGUGAAAACGCGGGGCUUAACUUCGCGCGUGCAGUGGGUACGGGCAGGCUUGAGUGUGGUAGGGGUGACUGGAAUUCCAGGUGUAGCGGUGGAAUGCGCAGAUAUCUGGAGGAACACCGAUGGCGAAGGCAGGUCACUGGGCCAUUACUGACGCUGAGGAGCGAAAGCAUGGGUAGCGAACAGG